This 422-nucleotide ribosomal RNA is filed under the name uncultured bacterium. Its description in RNAcentral is "bacterial SSU rRNA". It matches the Rfam family "Bacterial small subunit ribosomal RNA", at positions 498 to 918 of the family's 1533-position model. The record is from RNAcentral.
UAACUCCGUGCCAGCAGCCGCGGUAAUACGGAGGGUGCGAGCGUUAAUCGGAAUUACUGGGCGUAAAGCGCACGCAGGCGGUUUGUUAAGCUAGAUGUGAAAGCCCCGGGCUCAACCUGGGAUGGUCAUUUAGAACUGGCAGACUAGAGUCUUGGAGAGGGGAGUGGAAAUUCCAGGUGUAGCGGUGAAAUGCGUAGAUAUCUGGAGGAACAUCAGUGGCGAAGGCGACUCCCUGGCCAAAGACUGACGCUCAUGUGCGAAAGUGUGGGUAGCGAACAGGAUUAGAUACCCUGGUAGUCCACACCGUAAACGCUGUCUACUAGCUGUGUGUGUCUUUAAGACGUGCGUAGCGAAGCUAACGCGCUAAGUAGACCGCCUGGGGAGUACGGCCGCAAGGUUAAAACUCAAAUGAAUUGACGGGG